CUUCUCUUUAGAACUCCGAAAAUCAAGGUUCGACUUGCAUGUGUUAAGCAUAUAGUCUGAGUAGCAUGAUUGGAGCUUCUUAAUGCUUAGGCCACUACCUAAAAGUAAGUUUUUCGCUCUUUUCCUCUUACAUAACUUAGAUGGAGGAGAUAGUAAGCAAGACUUUCUACGCAACGAUUUCUUCAUCUCUUAUGAUUUAUCUAGUUACAGGGG
Molecule: long non-coding RNA, 213 nt
Filed under: Nicotiana benthamiana
Lineage: Eukaryota; Viridiplantae; Streptophyta; Magnoliopsida; Solanales; Solanaceae
Description: long non-coding RNA (NBEN_LNC015445)
Source: RNAcentral